AUCGUCUUCAUUCAUAUUAUACUAAAUUUUGUGAAGAAACAGAAAUUAAUCAAAGCACGCAGCCAUAUCAAAAUACAAAUAGUGAGCAGCCUAAUGAUAAUACAGAUGCUCCAUCUUCAAAGAGGAAAAAAAGAGAAGAAAAUGGUAUUUGCAGUGAUAUUAAUUCUUCCUAUCCAGAGUCUAUUGCAAGUAAUUGGAUACAAAUCUAUUCACCUACUUUGACUACAAAAUUAGUUUACUGUCUCAAAUAUUUAGUACCAACUGGAGAAUAUCAAGAGUUCUUAAGCCAUACCUACGGGAAAAAUGCACUCAACUUAGUAAUGAAAAUAAUUAAUUCUUCAGAAAAACA
Metopolophium dirhodum (rose-grain aphid) is the source of this 349-nucleotide long non-coding RNA. RefSeq lists it as uncharacterized. NCBI's taxonomy places the organism in Eukaryota, Metazoa, Arthropoda, Insecta, Hemiptera, Aphididae. The record is from RefSeq and is a predicted model, not a curated record. The transcript has 3 exons.